Phrynosoma platyrhinos (Desert horned lizard) is the source of this 72-nucleotide non-coding RNA. The record is from the annotation of a GenBank genome assembly. Lineage: Eukaryota; Metazoa; Chordata; Lepidosauria; Squamata; Phrynosomatidae.
GCCAGUGUGGCUCAGUGGUUUCAGUGUUGGGCUGUGGCUCUGGAGGACCAGGUUCGAAUCCCCACUCAGCCA